This 74-nucleotide transfer RNA is filed under the name Geoanaerobacter pelophilus. RNAcentral describes it as "Geobacter pelophilus tRNA". It matches the Rfam family "tRNA". From Rfam's summary of the family: Transfer RNA (tRNA) molecules are approximately 80 nucleotides in length. The record is from Rfam by way of RNAcentral. Lineage: Bacteria; Pseudomonadati; Thermodesulfobacteriota; Desulfuromonadia; Geobacterales; Geobacteraceae.
GGCGGUGUAGCUCAGCUGGUUAGAGCACACGGCUCAUAUCCGUGUUGUCCGGGGUUCAAGUCCCUGCACCGCCA